This 24-nucleotide unclassified non-coding RNA is filed under the name Mus musculus (house mouse). RNAcentral's name for it is "oocyte_clustered_small_RNA743". Lineage: Eukaryota; Metazoa; Chordata; Mammalia; Rodentia; Muridae. The record is from RNAcentral.
UAUUCUGGGCUACGCCUUUCAUCU